Molecule: long non-coding RNA, 196 nt
Organism: Maniola jurtina (meadow brown)
Lineage: Eukaryota; Metazoa; Arthropoda; Insecta; Lepidoptera; Nymphalidae
Exons: 3
Source: RefSeq, a predicted model, not a curated record
AUAGACAUUCAAGGAUACAAUAAUUCGCAUAGAGCUAAAAAUUGGUGCAAAUGUUUGGAAUACCAAUAUAAAUGAACUGUGAAAAGUCCCCAUCGAUCCCACAUUUGCAAAAUAAGGUCAAAGUUCACAAAAAAUGGGAUUAAUGAAUUUUCCAGCUAAACAGUAGUUUUAUCAUAAAAUAUAUCAAAAGGUGGAU